GAUGAACGCUGGCGGCAUGCCUAAUACAUGCAAGUCGAACGAGAGGAAGGAAAGCUUGCUUUUCUGAAUCUAGUGGCGAACGGGUGAGUAACACGUAGGUAACCUGCCCAUGUGCCCGGGAUAACUUCUGGAAACGGAUGCUAAAACCGGAUAGGUAGCAGACAAGCAUUUGACUGCUAUUAAAGUGGCUAAGGCCAUGAACAUGGAUGGACCUGCGGUGCAUUAGCUAGUUGGUGAGGUAACGGCCCACCAAGGCGACGAUGCAUAGCCGGCCUGAGAGGGCGGACGGCCACAUUGGGACUGAGACACGGCCCAAACCCCUACGGGAGGCAGCAGUAGGGAAUUUUCGUCAAUGGGGGGAACCCUGAACGAGCAAUGCCGCGUGAGUGAGGAAGGUCUUCGGAUCGUAAAGCACUGUUGUAAGAGGAAAACGACAUUCAUAGGGAAUGAUGAGUGAGUGAUGGUAUCUUACCAGAAAGUCACGGCUAAUUACGUGCCAGCCGCCGCAGUAA
Molecule: ribosomal RNA, 512 nt
Filed under: uncultured bacterium
Lineage: Bacteria
Description: partial 16S ribosomal RNA
Rfam family: Bacterial small subunit ribosomal RNA
Source: RNAcentral